GAUGAACGCUAGCGGCAGGCUUAACACAUGCAAGUCGAGGGGUAGGAGAAGCUUGCUUUUCUGAGACCGGCGCACGGGUGCGUAACGCGUAUGCAAUCUACCUUUCACAGAGGGAUAGCCCAGAGAAAUUUGGAUUAAUACCUCAUAGUAAUACGCCUUGGCAUCAAGAUGUAUUUAAAGAUUUAUCGGUGAGAGAUGAGCAUGCGUCCCAUUAGCUAGUUGGUAUGGUAACGGCAUACCAAGGCAACGAUGGGUAGGGGUCCUGAGAGGGAGAUCCCCCACACUGGUACUGAGGCACGGACCAGACUCCUACGGGAGACAGCAGUGAGGAAUAUUGGACAAUGGGCGCAAGCCUGAUCCAGCCAUGCCGCGUGCAGGAUGACGGUCCUAUGGAUUGUAAACUGCUUUUAUACAGGAAGAAACCCCUCUACGUGUAGAGACUUGACGGUACUGUAAGAAUAAGGAUCGGCUAACUCCGUGCCAGCAGCCGCGGUAAUACGGAGGAUCCAAGCGUUAUCCGGAAUCAUUGGGUUUAAAGGGUCCGUAGGCGGUCAGGUAAGUCAGUGGUGAAAGCCCAUCGCUCAACGGUGGAACGGCCAUUGAUACUGUCUGACUUGAAUUAUUAGGAAGUAACUAGAAUAUGUAGUGUAGCGGUGAAAUGCUUAGAGAUUACAUGGAAUACCAAUUGCGAAGGCAGGUUACUACUAAUUGAUUGACGCUGAUGGACGAAAGCGUGGGUAGCGAACAGGAUUAGAUACCCUGGUAGUCCACGCCGUAAACGAUGGAUACUAGCUGUUGGGAGCAAUCUCAGUGGCUAAGCGAAAGUGAUAAGUAUCCCACCUGGGGAGUACGAACGCAAGUUUGAAACUCAAAGGAAUUGACGGGGGCCCGCACAAGCGGUGGAGCAUGUGGUUUAAUUCGAUGAUACGCGAGGAACCUUACCAAGGCUUAAAUGUAGUUUGACCGGUUGGAAACAG
RNAcentral lists this ribosomal RNA (977 nucleotides) under uncultured bacterium. RNAcentral's name for it is "bacterial SSU rRNA". It matches the Rfam family "Bacterial small subunit ribosomal RNA", at positions 28 to 1009 of the family's 1533-position model. The record is from RNAcentral.